GCACCGCUGACGAGUCUCUCAAACAGGACGAAACAGCUGUCUGGUGC
RNAcentral lists this non-coding RNA (47 nucleotides) under Echinostoma caproni. Lineage: Eukaryota; Metazoa; Platyhelminthes; Trematoda; Plagiorchiida; Echinostomatidae. The record is from RNAcentral.